GGCGCAGGCGGCUGGCUAAGUCCUGUGUGAAAUCCCACGGCUCAACCGUGGAAAGCCACAGGAUACUGGCGAGCUAGAGACGGGUAGAGGCGAGUGGAAUUCCCGGUGUAGCGGUGGAAUGCGUAGAUAUCGGGAAGAACACCAGUGGCGAAGGCGACUCGCUGGGCCCGUUCUGACGCUCAGGCCCGAAAGCGUGGGGAGCAAACA
This 207-nucleotide ribosomal RNA is filed under the name uncultured bacterium. Its description in RNAcentral is "partial 16S ribosomal RNA". It matches the Rfam family "Bacterial small subunit ribosomal RNA", at positions 568 to 774 of the family's 1533-position model. The record is from RNAcentral.